GCUGGGUGUGGUGGUGCCUGCCUGUAAUCCCAGCUACUCCGGAGGCUGAGGCAGGAGAAUCAUUUGAACCUGGGAGGCUGGGUUGCAGUGAGCUGAGAUCGCGCCACUGCACUCCAGCCUGGGUGACAGAGAGAGACUCUGUCUCAA
This 147-nucleotide non-coding RNA is filed under the name Pan troglodytes (chimpanzee). Lineage: Eukaryota; Metazoa; Chordata; Mammalia; Primates; Hominidae. The record is from Rfam by way of RNAcentral.